Molecule: long non-coding RNA, 3741 nt
Organism: Olea europaea var. sylvestris
Lineage: Eukaryota; Viridiplantae; Streptophyta; Magnoliopsida; Lamiales; Oleaceae
Exons: 8
Source: RefSeq, a predicted model, not a curated record
AAAAUGCGUUAAAAUGUGAAAAAUCGAGAAGCAUCAUUGCUCAAGCAGCAUCAAGCAAUAGGGGGCGAGAAGCGGAUGACAAUUCUUUAUUCCAGAUUUGUCGGUUUCGCUCGAGCGAGUAGGUGGCGAAAAACUAGCGAAAAUUCGGCAACAAAUUUCUCGGUCCAUUAAUUUGAUCUACCCAGGACCACUUCGAAUACAACUCCAAUAGAAUUUGGGUCACACUACAACAUAUCUUUAUUCCGAUUUUCCUUUGAUAUGACAUUUUUUAUUCCUUAAAUCCCUUCCAAGACAACUUCAGUUGUGAGACGGAAAGUUUGCUACAGAUUUUGGAAAAAAUGAAACAGUAGAAUUUUUUUCUGUCUCUCAUUUCUUUCAUGUCUUACACUUAUGCUCCCCUUGUUGGUUAAACAACCUGUCUAACCAAUUUUUAGCAGUCAUGCAAGUAUUUUGUUUAAUCACUUAAAUCUAAAUCUACAUUUUAAUUGUGCAUUUCCCUCUUCGUUUUUUGUCUGCUCAACUUACUAAUUGUCAUCUAUAUAUCCUUGUAGUCACUUCUAGCCAAAAUUCACCUUGAAUUAUGCACAUCAGUUGUCUAGUCUUAUCGUACAAGCUUUCAGAUAAGUGAAUUAAGCAAUAUUAAUUAAGCACACAAAACAUGCCUAAUGGGCUAAUUCACGAUAAUUAAAUGUGACGUGUCUAAGCAAGAAUGAUAUGAAAAGUUCUGAUUAGCCUAAUGAAAAUUUCACAGCUUAGGAACAACACUUGCAUUUUUUCGUGAUCUGUUGUCCUGGGUAUACAUCGUCUCCCUCCCUUUCUUAGCAGUCACAUCCAACACGUUAUCUCUUUAUCUAGAUACCCCAAUUACUUUUCUAAUCUAACUUUUCUUUUUCAGGAGUUUUUUUGUUUUUAGAAUACAUACUUGAAGUAAUUUUACCUAAUUUUAUAAUAGCUGUUGAGCAAUCAUUGAGAAAGUUCAUGCUUCCUAUUCUAUUGGUGAGGUACGUAAGCUCCUUAAUACAUUGUUUCAUUAUCUUCGUGUUAUUGUACUUUGUUUAGUCCUUAAAAUUGACAUGAGGUGAGCAAUGUUUUUCUGGUUCAUCUUUACAAGGAUCCUAAUACUGGGAAGAUAAAAUUUCCAACUACUGGUACAACUGCAGAAGUACAAACUAGAAUUCUUCUCCCCAGUUCUUUUUUUUUUUCAUCCCUUCAUAAUUGAAUUAUAUGCCAUGAAUUUAGGUUACAUGUAAAGCAUAGCUAUUUUAUGUUUGCUUGUUUUAUUUGUUUGAAUAUAACUAAGAUUCCAUGACAUUGUGAAUGGAAAAGUACAAAUCUGUAUGUAGUUCUAAUUCUUACUUUAGAGAGAGUGACAUGCCAAUAUCUGCAUCCACACAAAUUCUUUUUCUUCUUUAAAAUAGAUUGCAAAUAUUAAUUUUAUGUUUCUUUUAGAAAUUAGUUUCAUGGAGUAUGCAACAUUUCAUAGCCGAAGCUUAGUUCUUUUGAAUAUUUGUUAUUUUUGUUAUGUUUUUAGUGCAUACUUUCAAAUCCAUACCAAGAGAAUGAAUAUAUGUCAAAUUGGGUCGAAUGGGAAAUUAUGUAAAUUAUCAAAAUUUUUGAUAUCAUCUAUUAUCUAUCACCUUGCAUGCUUUGGGGUAUUUGUAAAUUCACACAAGCACAUUGCCUUUUUAAUAUAUUGAAGGAGGAAGAUUGAUGUUAUGUUUGUCAUUUAAAUAAAUUUAGCUUUACUUGCUAGCAGUUGUUAUGAUAAAUUAAGACGGCAUGAUGCUUUACGUUAGUUUGAUUGUGUUGAAGAAUGUUGACGAGGAAGAAAAACUUGAUUAUUUUUUAAAUGAAUGGCAUGCUCAUUUGAACCUGUAUCCCUGGAACUUGAUACAGUAUGUUCCUUUGAAAUAUUCUUUUGGAACUUGUAUGUUUCAAAUUGCUCCUAUACUAUUUUCCUGAUCUGAUAGUCAUAAUCCAAUAUUUUCAUUAUUUUUUGAUUCCUUGAAAUGCACAAAAAAUAUGCAACAUGUCUAGAGUGAGUGAGUCCAACAUCCCAUAAUGAGUAACAUUGUUUUGCAAAUGCAAUAAUUAAAAUCACGAUUAACGACAUAGAUAAGCAAUGGAAAUAUUCUAAAUUCAGAAGGGACUUGGGUUUUGAUCCUGAAAAGCCCAUUGAAUGUGAUGAGAAGGACAACAUUUGCUGGAGAUAUUGCAGGGAGCGAGACUUUACAAUAAAUGGGUAGUGGAUAAGCCUAGCUAAAUUUUUUAAUAUUAUCUAACACUAGUGCUUUCUUUCACCUAUUGUUCUCAUUUCUUCUUAUUAUUAGCACUAAUGCACUGUACUACUUUUAUUAUUACUACUAUUGUUAUUAUCAUCAAUGAUGUUGUCAUUUCUUCUUCUUUAUUUCUGUUAUUCUUAUUAACUUUUUCAUUGUGGGGUUUGAAAAUCGAUUCUUUGGGUCAUUUUAUAUGUUUAAUUGAUUAAUAAUUUUUUCAAUUACAAAUUGAUGUUUAACCCAUAUGCGAAAUUAGUGUACGAAUACCUGGGCAGAGUUGAUUAUUUUAGGAAAGCUGAAGUGUGCAUGUAUCUGAAAAUGGAACUUUUAUUUUCGUCGAACCUUUUUCUAGAAUGUUAUUACAUCUAUUUUUCUGUUGCAGUUGAGAACCAUUAAACCUGCCAACAUCUAUUUCACAAAGGAUUGUGGGAGGCUUCUCAUGGAAAUAAAUUACAUAAUGGCAUAUGGUUAUGCAGAAGCUUCAUUGAGAAUAUUAUGGAGAAUAGGUCUCUUGGAAAUACUUCUAUCAAUUCAGGUACAAUGAUGAUGAUCCUAUAUCUAGAUAUGAUCAAUCAUAUACGGUAGAUAAUGUGUUGAAUUACCAUCCCGAUAAAGCUACAAAGAUGGGAGUUGGAUAUUAAAAUAUAUCAUGUUGGAAUAGCCAGUAGCCUUUUAGGGGGAGCACCAUAUGACUUCCUUGCACAAAUGUUUGCCUCUUUUCAGGCAGUCAGCGAAAGGAAUAGGGAUAAACGUUAUCACUAAUUUAUGAUGGAACUUGGGAUACAUUCAAAGGGAUUUGAGCUUCAAAUCUUAUUUAUUUGCCUAUUGUAAUUAAGGAUUGGCAGUCGGUAAUUGACAUGAAAAAAAAUGGAACUUUGGACUUUCAUAAAGGAAAGUAUUAGAGGACAUACAAGUCAAGAUUGAGAAAAGAAAUCAGAAUUGAAUCAGCAUUAUCUGUGAAUAGAACACGCGCUAUUUUCCUUCUUAGAUCGAAGAAUGUAAACUCUGAAGAAGCAUGGAAAAAAUUUGUAGAAUAUACUCUUUCUACUGACUUUCAAGAGAAAAUUCCCAAGUUCAGCAAAAUGAGAACAAUCAAAAGAUUUUACAUGCUAUAGGUCGAAAGGGUUAUCGACAUAUGGCUCAUGAUUUGGUCAUAAACAUCGUGAAAGAGUAAAGGAAUUUGGAUCUGGAGUUACACCAUCAAAAGUUGAUUGACGAAUUCAAAGCAAAUCUCGAGUGAGAGAACUUGAAAGCCAACUACAAACGCAGUCAAAAAGGGUGGGAGCACUAGAAGAAAAAGUUUAAGCGCUUCUAAAGUUAUCUCGAGUUAUGUAUUUUAUCAUUAUAUAUAAUAUGAUAACAUUGCUUUAAGUAAGUUAGUACGUAGAAUAACUUUUUACUUUUUGUAUUAUUUUACAGAGUCAAAAUAAGAAUAUAGAAGACAUGAGUUCAUGUGCUUUUA